AAACAAUAUAUUCAUAUUUCCAAUUAAACCUCGAGGCUAAUCUUUCAUUGAAGAAUGAAAAUAUGAUGAAAGAGGUGCCUGGAGAGAGCAGUGGAUUAUCAUACUAGACUUUCAUCACUGGAGAACUGGAUUCAAUUUCUAAUAUAGGAAUUCCUUGAGAAUCAAGAAAGAAGCUAUAAGGGGUACGAUCUUGUCAGCCUCCUCUGAUUGAUAUAGCCUUAUGUCAUUGCAGGCAGAAGCCUUUAAGUGAAAGACUACAAUCUACCUUCUUUAUAUUUUCUUGCACAGUUCUCCUUUGGACUCUGUAUUUCCAAAUUGUGAAACCUAAAUCAACCGAUUUCCUCAUCAUCACUGAAGCCCUGGAUUGCUUGACUCCUCACAGCCUGAUGAGAUGAUAGUUUUCCAACAGCUUAUUUUCUUUGUUUUUAGUUAGCUCAAUGAAAAAUCUGAAGGCACCCAUGGGUGGGUUAAAUGGUAACUACACCUUAGAAAUCAGAAGUCCUGUACAUUUUUUAGCGUUUGCCUUGAGUAGAAUUCAAAGGUUUAUUGUUAAAAGGUGUUAGCUAAUAUGGUCUGAAAAAAACUCUAGUGUAGACAAGGCAAUGCAAACUUAAUGCAUGCUAAGCUGCUCAAUUUGAAGCUUUCUGGGAACCUACCUACUCGUGUGGGGUGUUAAUUUUUUUGGCAUCAUAAUCUCUGAGAAGAAUUGUUCAUUUACUAUUAGCUUUGAAAAGACCUAGUCCCCUUCAAGUAUUUAAAAUAAUUAAAAGCAAAGUUACAGCUGUGCUUCUUGUCAAUAAGGUCCUGCUUCAUUAAACAGAGAGAGAUUUAUUACAUCCACUAGACAAUUAAAAUAGUGUAAAGAUCUGCAAUUAGUUAAAGACUGAGUAGCUAUUCAUCACAUGGGGUUCAAUCCUGAAGUCUUUACUUAGGUGAAAUUCCUGUAGGCUUCAAUAAGAUUAUUGUUUGAAGAAGGACAAGAUUUACUAAGGAACUAACGUCUACAAAUGUGGGCAUCAUUAAUGUAACAAGCACUGGUUUUUGUUUUGUUUUGUUUUUUUUAAUGGAAUCUCACUGGUGAAUGGCACAUGUAUGAACACUCUAGCUCCAACACUGCAAACAUGUAUGCACAUAUUUUAUUUUACUAAUCUGAACAACAGCAUGAGCUAUAUAUGGUAGUAAAGUUAAGCAUGGAAAUGUUUGGAGGAU
This is a long non-coding RNA of Mauremys reevesii (Reeves's turtle), 1209 nucleotides long. RefSeq lists it as uncharacterized. Lineage: Eukaryota; Metazoa; Chordata; Testudines; Geoemydidae. The record is from RefSeq and is a predicted model, not a curated record. The transcript has 3 exons.